Molecule: ribosomal RNA, 200 nt
Filed under: uncultured eukaryote
Lineage: Eukaryota
Description: partial 18S ribosomal RNA
Rfam family: Eukaryotic small subunit ribosomal RNA
Source: RNAcentral
CUCCAAUAGCGUAUAUUAAUGUUGUUGCAGUUAAAAAGCUCGUAGUUGAAUUUCUGGAAUGAACUUUCGGUCCGAGGCCUUGUGUCUUGCGUACUGUUUCUGUUCAUCCAUCUUAGUAGUGAGUGUUACUGGCAUUCGGUUGUCGGUUGCAGGAGCUGCUUCGUUUACUGUGAAUAAAAUAGAGUGUUUAAAGCAGGCAU